CCUGGUGGCUCAGCGGUAAAGAAUUUGCCUGCAAUGCAAGUGACCGGGGUUCGAUCCCUGGGUCAGGA
Molecule: transfer RNA, 68 nt
Filed under: Capra hircus (goat)
Lineage: Eukaryota; Metazoa; Chordata; Mammalia; Artiodactyla; Bovidae
Also listed under: 1 other name
Rfam family: tRNA
About the family: Transfer RNA (tRNA) molecules are approximately 80 nucleotides in length. Their secondary structure includes four short double-helical elements and three loops (D, anti-codon, and T loops).
Source: Rfam by way of RNAcentral